This 305-nucleotide ribosomal RNA is filed under the name uncultured bacterium. RNAcentral's name for it is "bacterial SSU rRNA". It matches the Rfam family "Bacterial small subunit ribosomal RNA", at positions 334 to 653 of the family's 1533-position model. The record is from RNAcentral.
UUCUCCUACGGGGCGCAGCAGUGGGGAAUAUUGGGCAAUGGGGGAAACCCUGACCCAGCAACGCCGCGUGAGGGAAGAAGGCUUUCGAGUUGUAAACCUCUGUCCUAUGGGAAGAAGAAAGUGACUGUACCAUAGGAGGAAGCUCCGGCUAACUACGUGCCAGCAGCCGCGGUAAUACGUAGGGAGCAAGCGUUGUCCGGAAUUACUGGGCGUAAAGGGUGCGUAGGCGGCGCAGUUAGUCAGAAGUGAAAUAUCGGGGCUUAACUCCGGGACUGCUUCUGAUACUGCUGUGCUCGAGUGCAGGG